UACAUUCCGGAUGUGCUAGCAUGGCG
RNAcentral lists this small RNA (26 nucleotides) under Bombyx mori (domestic silkworm). Its description in RNAcentral is "ovarian small RNA-20470". Lineage: Eukaryota; Metazoa; Arthropoda; Insecta; Lepidoptera; Bombycidae. The record is from RNAcentral.